This 348-nucleotide unclassified non-coding RNA is filed under the name soil metagenome. RNAcentral's name for it is "partial contains 5.8S ribosomal RNA, internal transcribed spacer 2, and large subunit ribosomal RNA". The stretch from base 1 to 120 matches the Rfam family "5.8S ribosomal RNA", at positions 35 to 154 of the family's 154-position model. The record is from RNAcentral.
GAUGAAGAACGUAGUGAAAUGCGAUAAGUAAUGUGAAUUGCAGAAUUCAGUGAAUCAUCGAGUCUUUGAACGCACAUUGCGCCCCCUGGUAUUCCGGGGGGCAUGCCUGUCCGAGCGUCAUUGCUGCCCUCAAGCACGGCUUGUGUGUUGGGCCCCCGUCCCCGGUUUCCCCCGGGAACGGGCCCGAAAGGCAGCGGCGGCACCGCGUCCGGUCCUCGAGCGUAUGGGGCUUUGUCACCCGCUCUGUAGGCCCGGCCGGCGCCAGCCGACACCCAACUUUAUUUCUAAGGUUGACCUCGGAUCAGGUAGGGAUACCCGCUGAACUUAAGCAUAUCAAUAAGCGGAGGA